Molecule: long non-coding RNA, 1331 nt
Filed under: Gadus morhua (Atlantic cod)
Lineage: Eukaryota; Metazoa; Chordata; Actinopteri; Gadiformes; Gadidae
Description: lncRNA (ENSGMOG00000026072.1)
Source: RNAcentral
GGUAAACAAAGUAGGAUUCCACUGUCCCCGGACUACUCUCCAACAGUGGUGGGAAAACUUUAAUUUCCGCGUCAACCAAAAAUACCUGCAGCUCUUAAAACCAAAAGACGGUUGAGCAAUGAUAAGGCGCAGGAUGAUGCUGCUGCCACUGUCGCCACACUCCUUGGACGUGACGACAACCCCCCACAACGUGAGCCAAACAUACCAGCCAAACCCUGAGAGCCUUGACGUAGUACCCCCCCUGGUUAGCCCUCGCUUGACACCCCAAAUGACGGCGAAUGCAAAAGUGACAUCACACGCAAAGGGUCCAUAUUGUGUCGGCGUUCUGAGUAGAUGCUGGUUAAGUGAUCACCAUGGCUGCGGUACUCUUUAUUCCCAGAGGGAAACACCGGCUUACUGUUUGAAUAAUUGUUCCUCUCAUCCACCCUCUGAUUCCCAUCUUCUCUUCCUCUGUCUGUCUGUCUUUUUGCUACGUUUCUUCUUUCGCUCCCCCUCUUCGGUUAGGUCACAUCAUGGUGAUGAAUGUCGCCGAUCAUGUGAAUGGCUACGGCAAUAUCAAGGAUGAGGAGGAGAAGGAGCCGGUGGCUCUCGGCCUGCACCUCAACGCCUUCGACCGGCUGACAGGAAGUGACCCGUCGGCAGACCUGGAGCACAGUGUCCUCGGCGCCAGCUCCGCUUCCCACAAUGCCUCGUUCCAGGAGGUCACGUUCCCGACCAGCUUCAUAGACUCGCGCGGCGUGCCGAGCCAAAGCAGUGUCGACUGUGGUGUCCCCAGGGUCCAACCUCCCAACAUCAAUCCCCACCACCACCCUCCCCGCCUCCUCCUCCACGCUCCCCAGCAGCCCCCCCUACACCACCGGCCUCCGUCACCAGCCCGACGCCGCUGCGAGGAGCCGGCGCUGCGAGACACGGCGCCCCCUCCUAAGUUUCCUCGCACGCCUCGCUCCGUGACGGCGGCGGCGGCGGCGGCCCUCGCCAGACGGGAGCGGGAGCAGCGGGAGAGGGUGGAGGCCCUGGAGGAGGAGCGGGUGGAGAUGCUGGGGGAGCAGCAGCAGCAGCAGGAGGGGCGCAGGGAGCAGAUGGAGAGCCUGGAGUGGGAGCGGCGCAUGCGGGUGCUGGUGUGGGAGCAGGAGGUGCUGAGGGAGAAGGGCAGGGCGGCCCGGGAGAAGGCCCGGGCCUACCGCAUGAAGAGGAGGUACUACGGGGCCAAGCUGAAGAGGAUGGGCCAGGACGUCCCGCCGCCGCCGCCGUCGUCGUCGUCGUCCUCCGGCAGCGACCAGGACGAGUGGGGGAGCGGCGAGCGAGCGCCCAAGGAGGGGGCGAUUGUGUGA